Molecule: ribosomal RNA, 603 nt
Filed under: uncultured bacterium
Lineage: Bacteria
Description: bacterial SSU rRNA
Rfam family: Bacterial small subunit ribosomal RNA (bases 1-517)
Source: RNAcentral
CCUACGGGAGGCAGCAGUGGGGAAUAUUGGACAAUGGGCGAAAGCCUGAUCCAGCAAUGCCGCGUGAGUGAUGAAGGCCUUCGGGUCGUAAAGCUCUUUUACCAGGGAUGAUAAUGACAGUACCUGGAGAAUAAGCUCCGGCUAACUCCGUGCCAGCAGCCGCGGUAAUACGGAGGGAGCUAGCGUUGUUCGGAAUUACUGGGCGUAAAGAGUACGUAGGCGGUUAUUCAAGUCAGAGGUGAAAGCCCGGGGCUCAACCCCGGAACUGCCUUUGAAACUAGAUAACUAGAGUCUUGGAGAGGUUAGUGGAAUUCCGAGUGUAGAGGUGAAAUUCGUAGAUAUUCGGAAGAACACCAGUGGCGAAGGCGACUAACUGGACAAGUACUGACGCUGAGGUACGAAAGCGUGGGGAGCAAACAGGAUUAGGUACCCUGGUAGUCCACGCCGUAAACGAUGAUAACUAGUUGUCCGGUCACUUGGUGACUGGGUGACGCAGCUACGACAUAAGUUAUCCGUCCGUCGGGUAGGUACGGUCGCGAGAAUAAACUAACGAAGAAGUAGACGGCGUGAGACGUGCCGACGACGACGACGAGGGGAGGUAGG